UUGAUGCAUAUUGCAAUGAUGCAUUUGCUAAUGUAUUAGUAGAACUUCCAGUUUGACUAAACAAAUUAGGUGUUCACUGGAUCAGAGACUUUAUGCACAUUGGAGGGGAAGAAAAGGUGUUGGGAGUGAUCCAAUACUGAGCCUGCCCCGUUCAAGCUGAUGUCCAGGCCAAUAUUGUAGGGCUCUGUGUUCAUGCUUGAUUCCUCUCUGGCUCAGUGAAUCUCUUACUAUAGAAAGUUAGGCUGCUAAGCAGAUGUUUGGGAAGCUGUGGUUUUAGACUGAGCAUGUUAACAUUCUUACUGGUUACGCAUUUAGAUCUCUGGUUGCCCCCCACCCCUGCCCCUGUUCUAACAAAAAUGUCACCCAUUUUUAGGAAGCUGAUAAUUAUAUUUUCUGCUAUAUUUUAUACUGCAUAAAACAGAUAGGGGAGGAAACUAGUUGGAUUAUGGCACUAGUAUCUUUUCUUUAAAAGUUACAUGAUUAUUUUUUAAAAAAGAAAGUGGACUCCAAGACAAAAGCCGGCCAUCUUUCAAAUGCUUGUCUGCCUGUUGCUUUGUUAUAGAUUACUAGAUCUAGAAAGACUGUUGAACUAGCCAAAAAGAGGAAUCUAAUUAAGUGUGAAGAAGGACAAAUAUGACCCAAUUUGGUGUUUAGAUUCUUUGUUUUCUGUUGUGAAUAUGAAACUGGAAUUGUGCUACAUGUUCACAACUCAGACCUGUAAAAUGAAGAGCUGUCCUGCCUUUGAGCAAAUUCAGACAGAUGUAUGUGGCAAGCCUGAAGCAAGCAUAUGCGGAAGGUAGUUUUCUAUUAUUUGUGAACUCAGAGUUGCUCUGAAUAUCCUUUCGUUAGCAGAGUGCUUUUUAAGUAUUGAGUUUUCCUGUGACAAACAAGUGCCCAGUUUGGACUGCACGUUGCAUAUUUGUGUAUUGUUAUGCCUGAUGCAGCAACUAGUGGGAGGAAGUGAGAGAAAAAGAAUCUUUUGAAAAGAAAAAUAAUCCUGAGGUUCACUUUUUAAAAGUAUAUGUUGAAGAUCCUUAAUAUUAGAAGCUGAAACCUUGUGGAAUUCCUAAUGGUAUUAUUAAGCAAAGACAGCCUGCUGGCCUGCCAAAGCAGUUAGUUAAGUGUGUGUCUCUUCAUUAAGUCAAAGAAGCGGAAGGAAAGAGAGCUGAAUUUUUGCCUCUAGCCAAACAUUUUUUCACUGUUGUUUUAGCACCACAUUAGGAUUUACGCAACACUAAUUGUGUGGUAUAGAUCAUGUUGCCUCUCGUUAGGCUAUCGUCAAUUGGGCUAAUUUGGAAAUAGGGCUGUCUUUCCAAUGAGAAACUGCAUCUGCAUUCCUGUUAAGAAAAUGUCAUAGAUCUGAAACCCUGAUUUAUCCCUGUAAAAGCCCCUUGGAAGAAUUUGGCUAGAAUGCUAAAACAGGUAUGUGUCUGAGUAGAACACAUUUCACAAAUGACACUUAAAUCAAUUAUGUGAUGAAAGAGGGCCAUUCCAGGAAGUGGAGAGCAUAACUUACGAACAUUACAAUAUAAAUAUCUUCAUAUAAAUGUUGAACUGCUGUAACUGUAGGAAUUGUGCUUGAUUUUGCUAAAGCCAUUUAGGAAAUUGACUGAAAACAUGUCAAUCAUAAAACACUAUUUUUUAAAUUGUGUACUUAAAAAUGUUAAUUGCUUUUUUAACUCUAGAGGAAAAAAACAAAAGUAUAAACUUCUAUUGAAUCCAAACUCUUGUGAGGUGUAAAAUUUGUGAAUCUUCUUUUUUUCUUUGUUUUCUGUUUCGGCAUUUAACUUCUGCUCCUGUUUCCAGGACUUCAUUUAUAAUUAAUAUUUGUGAUUUUUUUUUUUAAUCUUGCCCCUAAGUUCGGGAAAAUAUGCAGUUAACCAGAGGAAGCUAUAUGCGUAAGAGAGAAGUACCAUCAGAUGUAAGUGGUCUUCAGACUCAAUUUUACAGCCCUUAUAAUCUAGAUGAUGAAAAAGAGGUUUACAGACUAUCCGCUUUUUUUCUACAGACAUAUGAAAAUAGGGCAAAAUGGGUUUGAAAGUAGGAACGUACAGUACACUCAAGUCAAUGCAAGGUCGUGUUUCCUGUUUCAGGUCGCUAAGUAUAAAGCCAGAACUUUUUUUACAGCACUUACUACACCAACAUAGUUCUUGCAGAAGUCUGUGUGAGAGAAGCACAGUCUUUGCAGGCAGAAAUUUCCUGGUUGCUUUGAGGUGGGUACAUCUUCAGCCAAGUCUGCCCCCGCCGAAAAAAAAACCACCGAGAAAGAUCCAUGCUUCUGCAUCUUAAGGAGAAAAAAAGUCUUCCAAAGGCGUUGCUCCGCUUCUUCAUAAGAAGAAAAGAGAUUCCUGGCCCUUGCCACUACAAAUGGCAAAGGUUUCAAAAAGGGCUGCCACAGGGUGUUAAUUUCUUGUCUUUUCUAGCACCUUAAAUUGCCUUAUUCUCAUUUGAGAUCCAUAAGAAAUCCCCUGUGCUAGGCAGCUGCAGGGCUGUGGACUACACCUGCAAAGUCUUUGUUUCUUCUGGACAGAAGGUUCUUAAAAAAUAAUGCAGGCAUCAAAACCACAUGUGUAUUAGUCUUUUCUUCAGCUGGAAGAGAGGCAGCAUUCAUACCUCAUAAAGAUUCCUAUUAAGCCAUUGUGUUAAUAUUGACAAUCUCUACUUGGAAUGUCGCUGUUACUAGUAAUUAUUUUUGCGUUUUACCUGGAGAAAUUGGCGACAUCAGCAAGGGUUUCAAACACUGGGCCUCUUCUGAAACAAAUGUGUUUACUCAACAUGACAAUAUUUGGAUUCUGGAGCCAGAAUCUUCACUUGCAUUGACUUUCCUGGUGUGGGACAAGGGUUUUCACCUAUAGAUGUACUUCUGAUUUUCUUCACUUUUAUUUAUUGGUGUUCCUUUUCAAGUAUCUUGAAACAGUGCCAUGCCUGUUUCAGCUAGCAGAGCUGCUUCCUGGGCAGUGUAUGAAGAAGAUGCCCACAGUGGAGAGGGGAGUGCUGGAUGCUGCUGUGUGACUGCAUUGUGUUGUGUGGGAGCACACAGUACUGGUCAGUGCUGGUGAAGCAGGAGUUAAUAUCUCUUGGCUACUCAGCUGGUAAAUGUGUGUCUGGGAUUGUUAUAACCAGUCAAGCCUAGCAAUGAAGCUUGGACUGAACCUGUGGUGAAGGUGAGUAUCGUCUGCCACAGCUGAGACUGGCAUGAAGCCAUGAAGCAAAGAGAGCUGAGGAGGUGCCCAUCUACAGUGAAGGGAAGGAUGGUGUCAGCAUGGCAAGUGCGGUUUGCUUGGUCAGGCAGACCAGGGAACAGGAAUGGUUGGAAGGGGAAAGGAGGUGAGGAAGGCUCAGGUAUGUAGAGGGUGUGUGUUGGGGCUGGAGCUGCAGGAGAUGGGGCUGUGAAUUGAGGCAGGGAACUGGGUGGUUGCAUGUUCUCAAGGUGUUUCUGUGCAGACGGAUUUGAGAAUGAGCCUUAGUUGUGGGGUAGCGUCGACUUCCAAUAUUCAUCACAGCCACUUGUAGCCUGGCCUGAGAAAUGCCACACUCCCCAGUGGGCAACAGCUCAUCAUGUUGACUUCAGGAAAUCAAAACACAAGUAAUUGUAGCCUGAGCUAAACAGCAGGUAGAGACUAUCUUCUGUCUGUGCAGUCCAUAGGCACAGAGAAUGCUGUGGUACGUCAUCGUGAAGAAUUUGGGUGGGAACCUCUCUCAUUUUUCUGACCCCACGUAAAGCUAAAGCAUCUCCCCUUUGCUCUUGGACCAUUAUGCACUAGGCACCUAGCUGACUGAAAUUCUGCUUUCCUCCAGGAUCAGUAUUAUAGAGAAGAAUAGUAUCUCCACUAGUGCACAAAAAUUGCUCUGACAGCUUAUCACUGCUUAUUUACCAGCUGACUGUUCUCACUUUCUUUAGGGGCUAGAUAAUAAGCACAGUGAAACAAUUACUGUGCUUCAUUGAUGUGCUAACCCUCAUAGCCUCUUUGCUGUUGAACUCCAAAAACCAGCUGCAUUCACUGUUAAUUGAGGUUUGUCUUCCACAGAUAAUGAAGGAUGAUGAUUCUUCAGUCAUAGCAGGCAUGAUUAUAUGCAUUGACUCAUGGACAGUUAUUUUCGACAGACCUGCCUAUAUCACCUUGGCAUAAGUAAAAGGUGAUUGCUAAAUGUCUUACCUCCAUUUAUCAAGAUUUCACUCAUAGAAGUGUAGGACUGAAAGAAACCAGCUGGGUCAGAGCAUGCAGUCUUCUCUAAUUGCAGAAAACAAAGCAAUAGACAUUAAAAAAACAAAGCAAUAGACAUUAAACUCCGACUUGGAGAAUACCUUCUUCAUCUGUCUUUACAUACCAUGGGCCACAGGGCACUUCCUGUUAUGCUUCGAAAACUUUACAUUUUUAGUAAAAGAUCAAAAGCAACAGUGAUAGUUGGACUACAAGAAGAUGAUGGAAGAGAUCAAGAGUACCAACAACAUCCUAGAUCCUUUCAAAGGACGGCAACAGAAAAUUCUCACUUCUUUAUUUGCACAGAUGGAGCUGUCAAAGUGGAUUUGGAGCUGGAUUUAAAGACUUCAAGAUAUGUAAAUUUAAAAGAGGGGGAAGCAUGCCAACAGGUUUCCACCAACAAAUGGAGGCAUCACUUUUGGUGCAUCCUCUGGACUAAAAGGCUCCUGGCAUCAGGGAAAUAAAGCAAGAUGUAUUUUUAUAUUAGCAGGCAGUGGCUGCCGCUGGAGGAGAACCGUUCUAGUGCUAUAAAAUGACUCCAGAUGGAGACCCUCUCGUCGGCCGCUGACUUCAGGCUCAGGCAAAGCUGAAACGUAAUGCUUGUCCCGAUGGUCACCAUCCUUGGCCAGGAAAUACGGGAAUGUGUUUGGCUCGGGGAACAGCAGCAUUCUCCCCUUACGACAUCUGAUUUAUUGUAUGUCUGUUAAAACAAUAGUUUUGGAAUAAUUUUUAGAUUUGCUUUAAGAAAAGGAAGAAAAUGAAGAUGAAUGAAAUGGGACUGGUGCUGUGGGCUUGACAGGCGUAGCACAGAAAUCAGUCCCCACAGACUUGGUGCUAAAAGUCACACUGAAUGUCUGGAUCCAGUGCUCCUGGCAGAUCAUUUUUCCAUCUGCUUGGGAAAGUCACCACUGCUGUCUUCCAACAGCUGAGGCGGGGAUGCAGCCAAAGCUUCCUCCUGGCAGGCUGAGCCGGCAAGGGAUGUGGGUGCCCACCACCAUCAGGACCAAAUGCCGUCAAAAAAAUUAAAACUAUAAAACUUGAGCGGUGCCCACUGUGCAGGGAAGGAAAAGAAACCUUUUUCCUGCGUGCGGAGGGUACGUCACUGCUGCGGCGGCAGCGAGGCAAGGGGCUGAGCAAGCCCAGGGCUAGCUCAGCCCUGCUCAGGACUUCUCUGCAGAGCGACUGGUGUCCACACGUGCUGCUGCAGCACCAGGAGGGCAUCCAGGCUGGAAAGACGAUACCGCCGCCAGGAUAUGCAGCAGCAGUAAUGGAAUAAGGAUUUUCUGUGCCUUAGUGCUGAAAUGCUUCAGGGUUUACCUGUCACGGUCUCAAAUCCAAACAAAGAAAAUCCUGGCUCUGGUGAGGCAGCGAACAGAUGCUGCCGCUUGUUCCUUCUGCUCUGGAGGAGGCAAAGGAAGUUAUCUAUUAGCUGAUCCAAGCUAAGGCGUAUAGUACAAAGGAUCUUUGCGUCAGCCCCCAUUUUUACUCUUGCAGAAAACCCACCCGUUCUCGUCUAGCAGAUAAUUUGUGCACAUUGCGUGUUUUCUUUGGAAAUGACUUGCACUACACUAAAUUUUGAUUCUCUCUUUUUCUGUAGUCUGCCAGGUUUUCUGCACUUUUCUAAGUGACCCGCACUUAAACAGCUUGUCCUGGCUGCUGUGCUAUUGUUCCGCACACAUGUGGUAUCGCUGCUAUUGCUGCCGGACUGUUUGUCUUUUGAUUACGAGUGGCUUGAAGAUUAAGCCUCAAUGAGCCGGCACCGUUAGGUUUGCAUGAGUUUUCCUCUCCUGCAGCAGCCCAGCCUGGCAGGUGACUUUGGUAUUGUUGUGCCGUGUGGGGCUACGUACGCAUGUAGGAAGUUCACAGGGGAGAUUUUCUAAGCUUUCCUUUCCUGGUGAGUGAUCUGUAAACACGCUCUCAACGCCAAGCAUUUGAUUUUUCUGUUGUCCUCGUGGCAACAUGCUGAGGAUCAGCUGUGCGCCACGUUUUUUUCCCCCUUCAGAAAAAUUGGAGAUUUCAAGGAGGUGGAUUGUAAUCCAUUGUUGGAUACCAGUUCUGUCGGGUUUCCUUCUCCGCCGAAAACAGCCAACAGGAAAGUAAUUACAGGAGCAGAUGUGACUUGUGACGUAAAUGUUACUUCUGGCCUUUUCUUUCUCCCCCCCUCUUUUUUUUUUUUUUUUUUUUUUGAAGUAAUCCGACGGGGUGAUUCCAAAGCAACAGUCAACCGGUACGUGAGACACAUGGGCCUAUGGUGGUCAUUUCAAGCUUUUCCUUGACCCAGUCAGGUCCAGGGACAAUUUGCAAUAGCUUACAAGUCACUUUUUCAAAUGAAAUGAGCAAGUAAGACAAAUUUUUGGAGCGGCUUCAAUAUGUGCAUCUUGUGUAACUGCCUGCUUGAAUCCCACUGCUCUAUCCACUGACUUAUUGAUGUCUCUGCCCUGAGCGAGAUACUGGUGUUGCCUGUCAUUCAUUUGGAGUAAUAAAUCAGUAAGUAUGUCGCAUCUCAUGUUUCUCUUAAAGGCAAGUUAAUUCCAUACUCUAAAGUCUGGAAAUAAAGAUGGAUUAAACUA
Molecule: long non-coding RNA, 6772 nt
Organism: Aquila chrysaetos chrysaetos
Lineage: Eukaryota; Metazoa; Chordata; Aves; Accipitriformes; Accipitridae
Exons: 6
Source: RefSeq, a predicted model, not a curated record